UUGAUUCUUCCUAUCGUUGUGGCAACUUUGAUGUCGAACUGAUAUUCGGCUUGUGGAUCAAGCAUUUUGAUGGAUCAUUGUGGAUAUUUGAUUGGGUUGUUUCUUCGUAAAUUUGCAGAUCCCGCUCGAGAUCCAGAUCUCCAAAUUCAUCUCCUUCACCUUAUAGAAGUUACAGUCCUCGCCGUAAAAGCUUGUCGCAAUCCCGUUCGUCUUCGGUGAAGUCUGAUCGCAGCAGAUCUGCUGACUCUGGAUAUCGCUAUUGAGAGAUGAGGUCUUUUUGGCUGGAACUGUCUUAGAUAUUUUAUGUGAAGCUUUAGGAUUCGUAU
Neltuma alba is the source of this 326-nucleotide long non-coding RNA. RefSeq lists it as uncharacterized. The record is from RefSeq and is a predicted model, not a curated record. The transcript has 3 exons. NCBI's taxonomy places the organism in Eukaryota, Viridiplantae, Streptophyta, Magnoliopsida, Fabales, Fabaceae.